AUACGUAGGGUGCGAGCGUUGUCCGGAAUUACUGGGCGUAAAGAGCUCGUAGGUGGUUUGUCGCGUCGUCUGUGAAAUUCCGGGGCUUAACUCCGGGCGUGCAGGCGAUACGGGCAUAACUUGAGUACUGUAGGGGAGACUGGAAUUCCUGGUGUAGCGGUGAAAUGCGCAGAUAUCAGGAGGAACACCGGUGGCGAAGGGGGGUCUCUGGGCAGUAACUGACGCUGGGGAGCGAAAGCAUGGGUGGCGAACAGGAUUAGAUACCCUGGUGGUCCAGGCCGUAAACGGUGGGCGCUAGGUGUAGGGGUCUUCCACGACUUCUGUGCCGUAGCUAACGCAUUAAGCGCCCCGCCUGGGGAGUACGGCCGCAAGGCUAAAACUCAAAGGAAUUGACGGGG
RNAcentral lists this ribosomal RNA (398 nucleotides) under uncultured bacterium. RNAcentral's name for it is "partial 16S ribosomal RNA". It matches the Rfam family "Bacterial small subunit ribosomal RNA", at positions 523 to 918 of the family's 1533-position model. The record is from RNAcentral.